Molecule: ribosomal RNA, 479 nt
Filed under: uncultured bacterium
Lineage: Bacteria
Description: SSU rRNA
Rfam family: Bacterial small subunit ribosomal RNA
Source: RNAcentral
AGGACGAACGCUGGCGGCGUGCUUAACACAUGCAAGUGGUGCGACGAACCAGGCUUCGGCCUGGGGCAAAGCCGCGAACGGGUGAGUAACACGUGAGUAAUCUGCCCCGAUGACCGGGACAACCCGAGGAAACUCGGGCUAAUACCGGAUGAUGAGCCUCGGCGUAAGCCUUGUCUCUAAAGGAAGCUUCGGCCUCCGCAUCGGGAGGAGCUCGCGGCCCAUUAGCUUGUUGGUGGGGUAAUGGCCUACCAAGGCAACGAUGGGUAGCUGGUCUGAGAGGACGAUCAGCCACACUGGGACUGAGACACGGCCCAGACUCCUACGGGAGGCAGCAGUGGGGAAUAUUGGACAAUGGGCGAAAGCCUGAUCCAGCAAUGCCGCGUGGAUGAAGAAGGUCUUCGGAUUGUAAAGUCCUUUCGACGGGGACGAUGAUGACGGUACCCGUAGAGAAGCCCGGCUAACUUCGUGCCAGCAGCCGC